GGAUGUAUAGCUCAGUGGUAGAGCAUUCGGCUGCAGAUUGAGAGAUCUCCGGUUCGAACCCGAGUAUCCC
This is a non-coding RNA of Trichonephila inaurata madagascariensis, 70 nucleotides long. The record is from the annotation of a GenBank genome assembly. NCBI's taxonomy places the organism in Eukaryota, Metazoa, Arthropoda, Arachnida, Araneae, Nephilidae.